This 62-nucleotide transfer RNA is filed under the name Rattus norvegicus (Norway rat). It matches the Rfam family "tRNA". From Rfam's summary of the family: Transfer RNA (tRNA) molecules are approximately 80 nucleotides in length. Their secondary structure includes four short double-helical elements and three loops (D, anti-codon, and T loops). The record is from Rfam by way of RNAcentral. Lineage: Eukaryota; Metazoa; Chordata; Mammalia; Rodentia; Muridae.
GGGGAUUUAGCUCAGUGGUAGAGCACUUGCUAGCAAGUGCAAGGCCCUGGGUUCAGUCCCCA